Molecule: non-coding RNA, 359 nt
Organism: Cinara cedri
Lineage: Eukaryota; Metazoa; Arthropoda; Insecta; Hemiptera; Aphididae
Source: the annotation of a GenBank genome assembly
UUUACUUAUAAUAAAAUGUUAAAAAUAAUUAUCUAUUGACAAUUUUACGUUCAGUCAGAAGUUUUGUGCAUGCCUACAACAUGAACUGUUAUACAAUUCUUGUUUACAACAGUUGACAACUGUCAACUUGUUGACACUCGUGACAACCAUAAUCUUCUAGUCAUUACAGCCGAAAACUGUUCCAGCGGAUCACUAUAAUUUUAUAAUUGCAAACUUGUUAUUGUAGAUGCAUGCACGUUUAGAUAUGUUGCUAUCAAUGAUUACUUGUUUACAACACUAAUGCCGGAACAAACCUAUUAUCAUUUUGUUUCAUUAAAACACCGUGCACCGUACUGCCAUAUAAAUGAUACUGUUACUAC